CCUACGGGUGGCAGCAGUGAGGGAUAUUGGUCAAUGGCCGAGAGGCUGAACCAGCCAAGCCGCGUGAGGGAAGAAUGUCCUAUGGAUUGUAAACCACUUUUGCCAGGGAGCAAAGUCACCCACGUGUGGGUGUUGGCGAGGACCUGAAGAAAAAGCAUCGGCUAACUCCGUGCCAGCAGCCGCGGUAAUACGGAGGAUGCGAGCGUUAUCCGGAGUUAUUGGGUUAAAAGGGGGCGUAGGCGGGUUCUCAAGUCGGGGGUAAAAUCGGGAAGCUCAACUCCAUCCAGCCGUUGAAACUGAUGAUCUUGAGUGGGCGAGAGGUAUGCGGAAUGCCUGGUGUAGCGGUGAAAUGCGUAGAUAUCACGCGGAACUCCAGUUGCGAAGGCAGCAUACCGGCGCCCGACUGACGCCGAAGCACGAAAGCGUGGGUAGCGAACAGGAUUAGAUACCCGUGUAGUC
RNAcentral lists this ribosomal RNA (459 nucleotides) under uncultured bacterium. Its description in RNAcentral is "partial 16S ribosomal RNA". It matches the Rfam family "Bacterial small subunit ribosomal RNA", at positions 338 to 795 of the family's 1533-position model. The record is from RNAcentral.